RNAcentral lists this ribosomal RNA (1325 nucleotides) under Chlorotocus crassicornis. Its description in RNAcentral is "16S ribosomal RNA". The stretch from base 622 to 1325 matches the Rfam family "Archaeal large subunit ribosomal RNA", at positions 1423 to 2862 of the family's 2987-position model. Lineage: Eukaryota; Metazoa; Arthropoda; Malacostraca; Decapoda; Pandalidae. The record is from RNAcentral.
UAAUAUUAACUUAUCUGGUUUUCUUAUUUUAAGGUAAUAUACACAAAUAAUUUAUAAAUUUAAUUAGCAAGUAAAAUAAUUGAAAGUUUAAAGUUUUAGAUGAUAGCACACAAGUAUUGUAAAAGAAAGUUUAAAUAUUGGCAUUUAUUUAAAAGAAGUGGUUAACGUGUGUACCUUUUGUAUCAGGGGCUAAUAAUUUAUUUGUUUUAUUAAAUUAGGUCCCGAAAUAAUAGGAGCGACUUUAUAAUAAUUUUUUACGUUGUAAAGUGAUAUUUUAUUUUAAAGUAGUAAUGAUAUUUUAGUCGACUAUUAUAUAUCUGGUUGUUUCUGAGAAAAGUUUAAUUUUAAAGGUUAUUUUAAUUAAUAUACCUUUUUAGUGUGGGAGGCAUGAGCUUCUUAUAGUAGCUUACAUUAGAGUUAGAAAUUUUAUUGAGCUUAGUUGGGCUUAGAAUUAGCUUUAUUGAUAUUAUGUUUUAAUUAAAGCUUCUGUUAUUGUUAUAAUUUAUAUGUUUUUAUGUGUUGUUAAGAGACAUUAAAGUUUAAUGUUAAAUUUUUAAUUAAAGUGUUUGUAUUAGUAGGGUUAAGCUUGUUUUUUUUUCUCAAGUUAUUUUUAAAGUUUUAAUAUUUUAAAGGUGUUUAAAAGGAAUUCGGCAAAUAAUACUCUUGCCUGUUUAUCAAAAACAUGUCUGUGUGUUUAUUAAUACAAAGUCUGACCUGCCCACUGAAAUACUUUUAAAGGGCCGCGGUAAUUUGACCGUGCGAAGGUAGCAUAAUCAAUAGUCUCUUAAUUGGAGGCCGGAAUGAAUGGUUGGACAAAGAGUUAACUGUCUUUUAAAUAAGUGCUUGAAUUUUACUUUUAAGUGAAAAGGCUUAAAUUUAUUAAGGGGACGAUAAGACCCUAUAAAACUUUACAUAUUUAAGUAUGUAUUUUUUGAAUUGAAGUGUAAUAAUAAUUACUACUUGUUUGUUAUGUUGGGGCGAUAGAGAUAAAAUAAGUAACUGUCAUUUUUAUUAAAUAGAAAUAUCUAGUUUAGUUGAUCCUUUAUUAAAGAUUAUAAGAUAAAGUUACUUUAGGGAUAACAGCGUAAUUUUCUUUGAGAGUCCAUAUCGACAAGAAUAGUUGCGACCUCGAUGUUGAAUUAAGGUUUCCUUUAAAUGUAGCAGUUUAAGGGGUGGGUCUGUUCGACCCUUAAAGCCUUACAUGAUUUGAGUUCAAACCGGUGUGAGCCAGGUUGGUUUCUAUCUUUUAUUAAAUCAUUAAGCUGUCUUAGUACGAGAGGAUUGGUUAGCUAGAAAAGUUCUUAGGUUAUGAUUAAAUUUAAUUU